RNAcentral lists this ribosomal RNA (687 nucleotides) under Salmonella enterica. Its description in RNAcentral is "partial 23S ribosomal RNA". It matches the Rfam family "Bacterial large subunit ribosomal RNA", at positions 2261 to 2925 of the family's 2925-position model. The record is from RNAcentral. RNAcentral also lists the same sequence under 8 other names. Lineage: Bacteria; Pseudomonadati; Pseudomonadota; Gammaproteobacteria; Enterobacterales; Enterobacteriaceae.
GUGGGUAGUUUGACUGGGGCGGUCUCCUCCUAAAGAGUAACGGAGGAGCACGAAGGUUGGCUAAUCCUGGUCGGACAUCAGGAGGUUAGUGCAAUGGCAUAAGCCAGCUUGACUGCGAGCGUGACGGCGCGAGCAGGUGCGAAAGCAGGUCAUAGUGAUCCGGUGGUUCUGAAUGGAAGGGCCAUCGCUCAACGGAUAAAAGGUACUCCGGGGAUAACAGGCUGAUACCGCCCAAGAGUUCAUAUCGACGGCGGUGUUUGGCACCUCGAUGUCGGCUCAUCACAUCCUGGGGCUGAAGUAGGUCCCAAGGGUAUGGCUGUUCGCCAUUUAAAGUGGUACGCGAGCUGGGUUUAGAACGUCGUGAGACAGUUCGGUCCCUAUCUGCCGUGGGCGCUGGAGAACUGAGGGGGGCUGCUCCUAGUACGAGAGGACCGGAGUGGACGCAUCACUGGUGUUCGGGUUGUCAUGCCAAUGGCACUGCCCGGUAGCUAAAUGCGGAAGAGAUAAGUGCUGAAAGCAUCUAAGCACGAAACUUGCCCCGAGAUGAGUUCUCCCUGAGACUUAGAGUCUCCUGAAGGAACGUUGAAGACGACGACGUUGAUAGGCCGGGUGUGUAAGCGCAGCGAUGCGUUGAGCUAACCGGUACUAAUGAACCGUGAGGCUUAACCUUACAACGCCGAAGCUGUU